Molecule: ribosomal RNA, 584 nt
Filed under: uncultured bacterium
Lineage: Bacteria
Description: partial 16S ribosomal RNA
Rfam family: Bacterial small subunit ribosomal RNA
Source: RNAcentral
UGGGGAAUUUUGGACAAUUGGGCGAAAGCCUGAUCCAGCAAUGCCGCGUGUGUGAAGAAGGCCUUUGGGUUGUAAAGCACUUUUGUCCGGAAAGAAAUCCUUGGCUCUAAUACAGUCGGGGGAUGACGGUACCGGAAGAAUAAGCACCGGCUAACUACGUGCCAGCAGCCGCGGUAAUACGUAGGGUGCAAGCGUUAAUCGGAAUUACUGGGCGUAAAGCGUGCGCAGGCGGUUUGCUAAGACCGAUGUGAAAUCCCCGGGCUCAACCUGGGAACUGCAUUGGUGACUGGCAGGCUAGAGUAUGGCAGAGGGGGGUUAGAAUUCCACGUGUAGCAGUGAAAUGCGUAGAGAUGUGGAGGAAUACCGAUGGCGAAGGCAGCCCCCUGGGCCAAUACUGACGCUCAUGCACGAAAGCGUGGGGAGCAAACAGGAUUAGAUACCCUGGUAGUCCACGCCCCUAAACGAUGUCAACUGUUGCUGGGGAUUCAUUUCCUUAGUAACGUAGCUAACGCGUGAAGUUGACCGCCUGGGGAGUACGGUCGCAAGAUUAAAACUCAAAGGAAUUGACGGGGUCAUAGCUGUUU